This 1134-nucleotide long non-coding RNA is filed under the name Equus caballus (horse). RNAcentral describes it as "lncRNA (ENSECAG00000041777.2)". The record is from RNAcentral. Lineage: Eukaryota; Metazoa; Chordata; Mammalia; Perissodactyla; Equidae.
AUGAACCAGAAGCUUCCCCCCCUUCCUCCAGCGAGAAGGGCAGCAUGGCUAGGUCAGCCAAUCAGAGUAACGAGGCUCGGCCGCUUGGCAAAAUGAGAUUAAUCUAAAUCAAAUACUUUCCACCUUGGCAAUUUUAACUAAUUCCCUCAGGAAAGUACAAGAAAUAACCGGAAGCCCCCACAGGCCCGCAAGCCUCCUGGUACGGGCAGGCAGCAAUCAUCAGAGGAUCUAAACUGCCAGGCUCUGAGGGCUGUGCGGAGAGAGAUUCAGGCUGCAGAUUAGAGAGGCUUCCUUCCUCCUGCAAGAUGCAUGUGCUUUCCGGCGUGGUUUGGCGGGACCCGCGCCCACGGACGGACCUGGUGGAGGACAGCGCAGGUGUGCCACGGCCCCUGCGAGCGCGGGGAGCCGCCCCUCUCUGCGGGGAGACCAUCUGUACACCUGAGGCCGGCUCAGCAGGAAAGGCUCCCUGGUUAACACAGCAGGACUUCUCAGAUGACCUUUCCCUUCCGUGAAGGCGGAAGGGAAAGGUCUGACUUAACGCAGGCUCAGCUUUCUCGCUUUUUCAAACAGAAACUGCAGGGGAAACAGACCAGGCUUUAUUUGACUUUGCGGGCACCGACCUAGGACUUUUCCGUGAAGUUCUCCCCCUACUUUUCAGUGGGAAAAAAUUAACAGUGAUAAAGAGAGAAACCCCUCAGUACCCAGAACAAGGUGUUUAUCCACUAGGCUUUGGAGAUUUUUGUUUGUUGGGCUUUUUUCCCCUGUUUUUCUUAAAUGUCAGCUUUAUUGAGGUACAAUUUAAAUGGAGUGAAAUCCUUCCUUUUUGGUACACAGUUCCAUGAGUUUUGACAAAUAAAACCACAAUCGAGACAUAGAACAUUUUUAUUAUCCCCCAAAAUGUCUCAAACCUCCUUUCUAGUUGACCCCUCCCCCAACCCCGGGCAGCCACUGAUCUUUCUGUCCCUAUAGCCUUGCCUUUAGUCCUGCAAGAUUUAUUUAAGGUUUUUAACAAUAACCCUCUUAUUUCAUAACAACUAACCAAUAGGUCCAGUUAGCACAGUAAGAUGUAGUCAAAGGAGCAGCUGUGGAGUCAGACCAACGUAGGUUCCAGCCCUGCCGUGCCCCUUGCUCACU